Molecule: ribosomal RNA, 1503 nt
Filed under: Lacticaseibacillus casei
Lineage: Bacteria; Bacillati; Bacillota; Bacilli; Lactobacillales; Lactobacillaceae
Description: bacterial SSU rRNA
Rfam family: Bacterial small subunit ribosomal RNA
Source: RNAcentral
CUGGCUCAGGACGAACGCUGGCGGCGUGCCUAAUACAUGCAAGUCGAGCGAGCGGAACUAACAGAUUUACUUCGGUAAUGACGUUAGGAAAGCGAGCGGCGGAUGGGUGAGUAACACGUGGGGAACCUGCCCCAUAGUCUGGGAUACCACUUGGAAACAGGUGCUAAUACCGGAUAAGAAAGCAGAUCGCAUGAUCAGCUUUUAAAAGGCGGCGUAAGCUGUCGCUAUGGGAUGGCCCCGCGGUGCAUUAGCUAGUUGGUAAGGUAAAGGCUUACCAAGGCGAUGAUGCAUAGCCGAGUUGAGAGACUGAUCGGCCACAUUGGGACUGAGACACGGCCCAAACUCCUACGGGAGGCAGCAGUAGGGAAUCUUCCACAAUGGACGCAAGUCUGAUGGAGCAACGCCGCGUGAGUGAAGAAGGUUUUCGGAUCGUAAAGCUCUGUUGUUGGUGAAGAAGGAUAGAGGUAGUAACUGGCCUUUAUUUGACGGUAAUCAACCAGAAAGUCACGGCUAACUACGUGCCAGCAGCCGCGGUAAUACGUAGGUGGCAAGCGUUGUCCGGAUUUAUUGGGCGUAAAGCGAGCGCAGGCGGAAGAAUAAGUCUGAUGUGAAAGCCCUCGGCUUAACCGAGGAACUGCAUCGGAAACUGUUUUUCUUGAGUGCAGAAGAGGAGAGUGGAACUCCAUGUGUAGCGGUGGAAUGCGUAGAUAUAUGGAAGAACACCAGUGGCGAAGGCGGCUCUCUGGUCUGCAACUGACGCUGAGGCUCGAAAGCAUGGGUAGCGAACAGGAUUAGAUACCCUGGUAGUCCAUGCCGUAAACGAUGAGUGCUAAGUGUUGGGAGGUUUCCGCCUCUCAGUGCUGCAGCUAACGCAUUAAGCACUCCGCCUGGGGAGUACGACCGCAAGGUUGAAACUCAAAGGAAUUGACGGGGGCCCGCACAAGCGGUGGAGCAUGUGGUUUAAUUCGAAGCAACGCGAAGAACCUUACCAGGUCUUGACAUCUAGUGCCAUUUGUAGAGAUACAAAGUUCCCUUCGGGGACGCUAAGACAGGUGGUGCAUGGCUGUCGUCAGCUCGUGUCGUGAGAUGUUGGGUUAAGUCCCGCAACGAGCGCAACCCUUGUUAUUAGUUGCCAGCAUUAAGUUGGGCACUCUAAUGAGACUGCCGGUGACAAACCGGAGGAAGGUGGGGAUGACGUCAAGUCAUCAUGCCCCUUAUGACCUGGGCUACACACGUGCUACAAUGGGCAGUACAACGAGAAGCGAGCCUGCGAAGGCAAGCGAAUCUCUGAAAGCUGUUCUCAGUUCGGACUGCAGUCUGCAACUCGACUGCACGAAGCUGGAAUCGCUAGUAAUCGCGGAUCAGCACGCCGCGGUGAAUACGUUCCCGGGCCUUGUACACACCGCCCGUCACACCAUGGGAGUCUGCAAUGCCCAAAGCCGGUGGCCUAACCUUCGGGAAGGAGCCGUCUAAGGCAGGGCAGAUGACUGGGGUGAAGUCGUA